Molecule: long non-coding RNA, 448 nt
Filed under: Capra hircus (goat)
Lineage: Eukaryota; Metazoa; Chordata; Mammalia; Artiodactyla; Bovidae
Description: lncRNA (ENSCHIG00000001264.1)
Source: RNAcentral
GUUUCAGGCUGCACAGCGGAGCCUCUGCCGGGAGAGGGGAGCCAAGAGAACAUGGGUAGACACGCCAAGCAAUGCCACAAGAAACACGGCUUUUCCCUAGCAUGGCACCCCCCGUGCGACUUGAUGUAGUGGACUUCACGGAUUGUAGGAUUGUUGUGGGCCCAGAGGUCUGGCCUGGCCAGAAUGAGAUGAAACACCAGUUGUCUGAAACAAAAGGAGCCCAGUCCUCAAGAAUCCAAAAGGCAGUAUCUUCCUGAGGAGUCUGGGAUGUGGAUCUUCAGUAUCAAGGUAAGUCCUGUAAAAUUUAAGAAUCAAUGAAUUCCACACUGGGGAACUCUGUCAGUCUUGGCAGAUGCAAGUUGGUACCUGGGGAAUGAGUGGAAGAAAAGGCAUUAGAAAAAUAGGAAAGACUUCAGAAGGGGAAAAGAGGUGGGUACAUAGAAGGGGG